RNAcentral lists this ribosomal RNA (301 nucleotides) under uncultured bacterium. Its description in RNAcentral is "partial 16S ribosomal RNA". It matches the Rfam family "Bacterial small subunit ribosomal RNA", at positions 509 to 809 of the family's 1533-position model. The record is from RNAcentral.
CAGCCGCCGCGGUAAUACGUAGGUGGCAAGCGUCGUCCGGAAUUAUUGGGCGUAAAGGGCUCGCAGGCGGUUUCUUAAGUCUGAUGUGAAAGCCCCCGGCUCAACCGGGGAGGGUCAUUGGAAACUGGGAAACUUGAGUGCAGAAGAGGAGAGUGGAAUUCCACGUGUAGCGGUGAAAUGCGUAGAGAUGUGGAGGAACACCAGUGGCGAAGGCGACUCUCUGGUCUGUAACUGACGCUGAGGAGCGAAAGCGUGGGGAGCGAACAGGAUUAGAUACCCCUGUAGUCCCUGUCUCUUAUAU